CAUAACACCUUCUUCUUUUCUCCACAGAUAGUGGUGUCUGUGGCUCAGUGACCAGCCUCCCUGACAAUCUGGUUUGCAAUGUUGAACCUGCUGCCGUGGACCAGCUCAGCCAAGGUGACGCACUGGCCCUGGCGCAGAGGAUCAGCAAGAACUGCCUGAUAAGCCACAGGAGGUGCCCAAAGCCCGGGGAGAGCAGGACGCUCCCUUUCCAGAUUGCUGCUUUGCUGGUCAGCAAGUUUGAAGAAUUCCCUCCAGAAAUCCUGUCUUCCCUGGGCCAGGUGGCUGUUGGGCUCUCGGUGGCCCAGAUUGAGUUGGGUUUCCGCGAGGAGGACAUCUUGGCUUCCCUGCCCACCCUGAGCAAAGUUCAGGGCUGGAACACUCUGCAGGCAGCCGCUAUUUUGAGGAAGCUGUUCCACUCUGGAUACCAGAUUCAAGAUGGAAACAGCCUAGCAGCUCUUGGGAGCCUGGUGGUUGGAUUGGACCACGCCCACCUGCAAGCGCUGCCUCCCCAAACAGUCUUGGAUGCUGUUAAAGUCCCAGACUUCGCCACACAACUGGAGAACUUGUCACCCGCUCGGAAAAUUGCAUUUGU
Molecule: long non-coding RNA, 592 nt
Organism: Eublepharis macularius
Lineage: Eukaryota; Metazoa; Chordata; Lepidosauria; Squamata; Eublepharidae
Exons: 4
Source: RefSeq, a predicted model, not a curated record